CCCCGACUAGCUCUUUUGGUGGAGCAUGAGACUCAUAAUCUCAGGCUUGUGGGUUCGUGUCCCAUGUCGGGCA
Lepisosteus oculatus (spotted gar) is the source of this 73-nucleotide transfer RNA. It matches the Rfam family "tRNA". Rfam says of the family: Transfer RNA (tRNA) molecules are approximately 80 nucleotides in length. Their secondary structure includes four short double-helical elements and three loops (D, anti-codon, and T loops). The record is from Rfam. NCBI's taxonomy places the organism in Eukaryota, Metazoa, Chordata, Actinopteri, Semionotiformes, Lepisosteidae.